UGUGACCAUUGAAGCACAGCACCACAGGGA
This 30-nucleotide non-coding RNA is filed under the name Macaca fascicularis (crab-eating macaque). Lineage: Eukaryota; Metazoa; Chordata; Mammalia; Primates; Cercopithecidae. RNAcentral also lists the same sequence under 1 other name. The record is from RNAcentral.